This is a long non-coding RNA of Phasianus colchicus (ring-necked pheasant), 1026 nucleotides long. RefSeq lists it as uncharacterized. NCBI's taxonomy places the organism in Eukaryota, Metazoa, Chordata, Aves, Galliformes, Phasianidae. The record is from RefSeq and is a predicted model, not a curated record.
AGGUCAGACCCUAACCUGUACUGAUGCAUGCAUUUAUUCUUCCCCAGGUGCAGAGCUCAGCACUUGCUCUUGUUAAAACCCAUCAGGUUCCUCCCUACCCAACUCUACAGCCUGUCCAGGAUUUGCUGAAUGGUAGCACAGCCUUCUGGUGUGUCAGCCAUUCCUCCCAGCUUUGUAUCAUCAGCAGACUUACUAAAGGUGGACUCUGUCCCUUCAUCCAGGUCACUGGUGAAGAUGUUGAAUGAGGCCGGACCAAGGACUGACCCUAGGGAACACUACUAAUUACAGGUCUCCAACCAGACUCUGCAUUGCUGAUGACAACCCUUUGAGUUCUGCCAGUCAGCCAGUUUUCAAUCCACCUUACUCAUCUGUCCCACACUUCUUCAGUUUCAUAACAAGGAUGUUGUGGGAGAAGGUGUCAAAUGCCUUGCUAAAGUCAAGGUACACAACAUCCACUGCUCUCCCCACCAGUGAUGACAUCAUAGUGAUGAUCUACCCAGCCAGUGAUGACAUCAUAGAAGGCUAUCAUAUUGGUCAAGCAUGAUUUCCCCUUGGUGAAUCCAUGUUGUCUAUCCUUGAUAAUCAUCGUUUCUUCCAGUUGGAGAAUUGGAAGAUGGCAUCCAGAACAAGUUGUUCAAUCACCUUUCCAGGCUGCCUUCAUGCAUGGUCUCAGUCUGUCAGUGUUGCUUGACACCGGAGUCUGGAGAAGACUGCUGACAUCAGCUGCACAGAAAGCAAUAGUAGCUCACUGUAGGGCUGGUGGAUUAUUCCUGAGGACAUGUUCAAGCUCCUGUUACAACUCUUAGUCCCAUGAUUGCUAUGGUGAUGCUACCUUAUAAAAGAACAUACCUGGAUGUUGUGUGUCACAAACCCCAAACACAAGGAUCAGACCUUCUGUUGAGACAAGAACAACUCCAUAGGUUGCAGACAUCUUCUGGCACCACUGCCAUUACCACCAUUUAAUCCAGAAAAUCAGUGCCACAAUUAUUUUAAUUAGAGACAGAUAUCAAAUAUUUGUGUUUUUUU